GGACCCUUAGCUCAGUUGGUUAGAGCAGCCGGCUCAUAACCGGUAGGUCCCGGGUUCGAGUCCCUGAGGGUCCA
Molecule: transfer RNA, 74 nt
Filed under: Lachnospiraceae bacterium
Lineage: Bacteria; Bacillati; Bacillota; Clostridia; Lachnospirales; Lachnospiraceae
Description: tRNA-Ile
Rfam family: tRNA
About the family: Transfer RNA (tRNA) molecules are approximately 80 nucleotides in length. Their secondary structure includes four short double-helical elements and three loops (D, anti-codon, and T loops). Further hydrogen bonds mediate the characteristic L-shaped molecular structure. tRNAs have two regions of fundamental functional importance: the anti-codon, which is responsible for specific mRNA codon recognition, and the 3' end, to which the tRNAs corresponding amino acid is attached (by aminoacyl-tRNA synthetases). tRNAs cope with the degeneracy of the genetic code in two manners: having more than one tRNA (with a specific anti-codon) for a particular amino acid; and 'wobble' base-pairing, i.e. permitting non-standard base-pairing at the 3rd anti-codon position.
Source: RNAcentral